CCUGAUACAGUCGAUCGUCGGAAGCUCUGGGCUAGUACUCAAUCUAAAACCAAGCUAGUCACUGUCUCAAUCUCAAGGAUACUCAGAAAGUAAGGAAAUAUGCCCCAGUAUGAGGCCUGAUGUCAAAGUCAUAAGCUAAACAAUCGUCACCAAUCAUCUAUCCCCAUAUCACUGCCCAAAUAAAUCUCGUAAUGGAGAGGGGAAUAUGCCCCAGUAUGAUAUCUGAUGUCGAAGUCGUGAGGCAAACAAACUAACAACGAUCAUCCAUCCUCGUACCGCUGUCCAAACACAAUCUCAUCAAGGAGAGGGGAAUAUGCCCCAG
This 322-nucleotide long non-coding RNA is filed under the name Vitis vinifera (wine grape). Its description in RNAcentral is "long non-coding RNA (VVIN_LNC004974)". Lineage: Eukaryota; Viridiplantae; Streptophyta; Magnoliopsida; Vitales; Vitaceae. The record is from RNAcentral.